RNAcentral lists this non-coding RNA (27 nucleotides) under Trypanosoma brucei brucei. Lineage: Eukaryota; Euglenozoa; Kinetoplastea; Trypanosomatida; Trypanosomatidae. The record is from RNAcentral.
AUCAUAACAAUCUAUAGCGAGUGAACU